GUGGGGAAUUUUGGACAAUUGGGGCAACCCUGAUCCAGCCAUGCCGCGUGCGGGAAGAAGGCCUUCGGGUUGUAAACCGCUUUUGUCAGGGAAGAAAUCCUUUGGGUUAAUACCUCGGAGGGAUGACGGUACCUGAAGAAUAAGCACCGGCUAACUACGUGCCAGCAGCCGCGGUAAUACGUAGGGUGCGAGCGUUAAUCGGAAUUACUGGGCGUAAAGCGUGCGCAGGCGGUUUUGUAAGAUCGAUGUGAAAUCCCCGGGCUCAACCUGGGAACUGCAUUGGUGACUGCAAGGCUGGAGUGCGGCAGAGGGGGAUGGAAUUCCGCGUGUAGCAGUGAAAUGCGUAGAUAUGCGGAGGAACACCGAUGGCGAAGGCAGUCCCCUGGGCCUGUACUGACGCUCAUGCACGAAAGCGUGGGGAGCAAACAGGAUUAGAAACCCUGGUAGUCC
This 450-nucleotide ribosomal RNA is filed under the name uncultured bacterium. RNAcentral describes it as "partial 16S ribosomal RNA". It matches the Rfam family "Bacterial small subunit ribosomal RNA", at positions 354 to 796 of the family's 1533-position model. The record is from RNAcentral.